UCUAGGACCUAGGUUCUCCAGCUGUGAUGCAUCAAACCCAUAGCUGUAUAAUUUGCACUUCUAAGAGAGGACAGCUUCGUCCUAAUCUGAUUACUUCUAUCAUAUACCUAAAGGGGAGACAAUGCUAUCUUGUUAGGACAUAGCUUUCCAUGAUGUCUAGGAACAGAUAUGUUAGGUGUCAGUGUAGAGAUAGUUCUUAACUGUCACAUAGAUUUUUUCUCCAAGCAACUUCAGACAUGUACUGUAUGGUGAAAAGUGCAUUGUCUAAAUAGAAAAAAGAGACUUAGACUUUGUGCCCUAGCCAAAAAUAAUCUUCAUCAUACUUCUGUCCUGGGAAACCGUCUCCAGAGAUUUUCAUCUACAUGUUAUUAGUCAGAACUGUAUGAAAGGACACUUAGCUGCACAUGCCUUUGGGAAGGUGAGAAUUUUGCUGUCCGUCCUGUAUAUAGAGAGGGCAAAGGAGAUGAUGAUUGGGGAAAUGUAGAGUGAAACAAUUGUUGAUAGUAAUCUGCCACAGGGACAGACCUGUUGAAAUGUGUUUACACCAUGGUGUUACUAUUUUGUGUGACUGGUAAAUAAAUUUGAAGUUGCAUUGGUUGUGGCAAUUCCAUGA
This 613-nucleotide long non-coding RNA is filed under the name Homo sapiens (human). RNAcentral describes it as "HSALNT0041570". Lineage: Eukaryota; Metazoa; Chordata; Mammalia; Primates; Hominidae. The record is from RNAcentral.